GAUGAACGCUGGCGGCGUGUCUAAUACAUGCAAGUCGAGCGAACAGACGAGGAGCUUGCUCCUCUGACGUUAGCGGCGGACGGGUGAGUAACACGUGGAUAACCUACCUAUAAGACUGGGAUAACUUCGGGAAACCGGAGCUAAUACCGGAUAAUAUAUUGAACCGCAUGGUUCAAUAGUGAAAGACGGUUUUGCUGUCACUUAUAGAUGGAUCCGCGCCGCAUUAGCUAGUUGGUAAGGUAACGGCUUACCAAGGCAACGAUGCGUAGCCGACCUGAGAGGGUGAUCGGCCCAACUGGAACUGGCACACGGUCCAACUCCCUACGGGAGGCAGGAGUGGGGAACUUUCCGAAAGGGGCGAAAGCCUGACGGAGCAACGCCCGGGGGGGGAUAAGGGUUUUCGGAUCGUAAAACUUUUUUAUUAGGGAAAAAAAAAUGGGUAAGAAACUUUCCCCGUUUGGCCGGGACUAAAGCAGAAACCCCAGGUUAACUAGGU
This 496-nucleotide ribosomal RNA is filed under the name uncultured bacterium. RNAcentral's name for it is "partial 16S ribosomal RNA". It matches the Rfam family "Bacterial small subunit ribosomal RNA", at positions 28 to 506 of the family's 1533-position model. The record is from RNAcentral.